GAAAUGAGUUGUAGUAACCAAACUUCCUUUUUCCUAUUUUUAAUAUCAAACAAUCGCUUUCCUUUUUCUUUUAUUUACCCUCACAUUUCUCACUUCCUCGUCGUUCAUCUUCCUUCCAAUUUCUCCGGCCAUUUCUCUCCGCCGACACUUCUCCUUCAUUCCAAAUUUCAAGCAAAGGGGUAGCUGAACCCACUACUCUCUCUUUCUCUCUUCUUUCAUCACUCUUACCCAUGUUCGCCCUCAAAGACAAAGUUACCGACACCCUUUCCCGUCUUUUCGCCGAUUCGCCUGAUUCACCUUCUCAUUCCUCAACUCCACUCCACGGUGACCCUUCUCCGGGCAGCAGGUCAUUCUCUAAAGAAGGAAAUGCUUUGUCUUCCUACUUUUCCUAUAUUCUCCCGUUCUCGGGUUUUGAAGGACCCAAAUCAACCCAACCUCAGAAAAAUUACAAGUUACAUCAGCCUCGCCCCGUGCCAUAUGAUAUUGUCAAUUUUGAUUCUCUAGAACCAUUAGAGUGCAGUUUAGUGUGUGAGAACAAAGGCAUCCGAGACAAUGAGGAAGAUUUUGAUGACUCUUUCUCUGGAAGGAGUACCAGUAGUUCUGAAGUAUUUGAAGAAGCAACUUGCCAAAGUAGUCCAGAAAAGAUUGUGACAAAUCUCACGGUUGAUUCUGUUCUGAUUUCCACUGACACCUAUGAUUUCCUGCUACAACGUCUUCCUAAUAUCGUGAAAGGGCGACAAUGGAUCUUGUUAUAUAGUACAUUGAGACAUGGCAUAUCUCUUCGAACACUCAUUCGCAAAAGUGGUGAACUUUCUGGUCCUUGUUUGCUGGUUGUUGGUGAUCAGCAGGGUGCUGUGUUUGGUGGUCUUCUAGAAUGCCCACUGAAGCCUACUGCAAAGAGAAAAUACCAAGGAACAAAUCAAACUUUUGUCUUUACCACCAUGUAUGGUGAACCACAGCUCUUCAGACCAACCGAAUGCACGAAUAGUGAUGGUGAGAAAUGGCUGCAGAUAUCUUACAUAUGCAUCUGUCUAAUGAAAUUGAGAUGGAGCAAACCGCUAUUUCUACAUGUGUAUGGAUGAUUUACUAGCACUUGGUGGUGGCAGUAACUUUGCAUUACGGCUCGAAGAAGAUCUAUUGAAUGGAACCAGUGGACCAUGUGAGACGUUUGGUAACUCAUGCUUGGCACAUACCCAGGAGUUUGAGUUGAAGAAUGUUGAGCUCUGGGGUUUUGCUCAUGUUUCGCAAUACGUUUCUUGACGAAGAUGGGAUGGAAUGUUUUGCAGUUUGUUAAGCAUUAAGUUAUUGGUUAAGCAUUAUUUACAUUCUCCAGUAUUCUUUUCAUUUUUCCACUUUCAAAUUUAGAUUCUCAGAUUCAAAUGUCUUUAGCAUCUUAUAAUUAGCGAGAAGGGCAAUAAUAGAUUGGUUCUUUAAAUUAACAUCAUACACAGGCAGUUUCACAUUCAAUUUUAAUUGUGGUUUGUAUGUGAACAACAGAAUCACUCUUUCGAAAUUCAUGGACUUUUCAAUACAUACAGUUCCCUUAUCCGGGAGAUGAUACUAAA
Molecule: RNA transcript, 1565 nt
Organism: Cucumis sativus (cucumber)
Lineage: Eukaryota; Viridiplantae; Streptophyta; Magnoliopsida; Cucurbitales; Cucurbitaceae
Gene name: oxidation resistance protein 1
Exons: 9
Source: RefSeq, a predicted model, not a curated record